This 95-nucleotide non-coding RNA is filed under the name Schistosoma japonicum. The record is from RNAcentral. Lineage: Eukaryota; Metazoa; Platyhelminthes; Trematoda; Strigeidida; Schistosomatidae.
CAAUGGUAAAGCGCUCGUCGUAGAGCCAGAGGGCCUUGGGUUCGAUCCNCCAACAGGGUCGUAAAUGCGCACUGCUGAAGAGUUUCAUACUAGGA